UACGUAGGGGGCAAGCGUUGUCCGGAUUUACUGGGCGUAAAGAGCGCGCAGGCGGUCGUAUAAGUCGAAUGUGAAAGCCCCUGGCUCAACUAGGGAGAGUCAUUGGAUACUGUUCGGCUCGAAGGCAGGAGAGGGAAGUGGAAUUCCGGGUGUAGUGGUGAAAUGCGUAGAUAUCCGGAGGAACACCAGUGGCGAAGGCGACUUUCUGGCCUGUUCUUGACGCUGAGGCGCGAAAGCUAGGGGAGCAAACGGG
RNAcentral lists this ribosomal RNA (253 nucleotides) under uncultured bacterium. RNAcentral's name for it is "partial 16S ribosomal RNA". It matches the Rfam family "Bacterial small subunit ribosomal RNA", at positions 524 to 776 of the family's 1533-position model. The record is from RNAcentral.